RNAcentral lists this ribosomal RNA (255 nucleotides) under uncultured bacterium. RNAcentral's name for it is "partial 16S ribosomal RNA". It matches the Rfam family "Bacterial small subunit ribosomal RNA", at positions 524 to 777 of the family's 1533-position model. The record is from RNAcentral.
UACAGAGGGUGCAAGCGUUGUUCGGAAUUAUUGGGCGUAAAGGGAGUGUAGGCGGUUUGUUAAGUCUUCUGUGAAAUCUACGGGCUUAGCCUGUAAAGUGCAGAGGAAACUGGCAAGCUUGAGUGUCGGAGAGGGUGGCGGAAUUCCCGGUGUAGAGGUGAAAGUUCGUAGAUAUCGGGAGGAACACCUGUGGCGAAGGCGGCCACCUGGACGUUGACUGACGCUGAGACGCGAAAGCAUGGGGAGCAAACAGGG